Long non-coding RNA from Hylaeus anthracinus, 986 nucleotides. RefSeq lists it as uncharacterized. NCBI's taxonomy places the organism in Eukaryota, Metazoa, Arthropoda, Insecta, Hymenoptera, Colletidae. The transcript has 3 exons. The record is from RefSeq and is a predicted model, not a curated record.
CUCAGGGGUUGGUUAUAAAUCGUCGUCGUGAUCAGACUCACCAAAACGCCGCCAUUAGAUAUAGUGUUUCUUUUCGAAUAAUUAGGUAUCGAUUUUGUACUUAUUCCCAUCUAAUCACUGCUAAUCGGUAUUACUGCUUGCCAGCUAAUUUCAGGGAAAUGCGAGCACAACGAAAACAAGUACGAUGAUAAGUGCCACGGGACACGACCAGCUUCUCCGCCAGGAAAACAGGAAGUCUGCACGCGAUGCACUGAUCUCUUCGUAUGCCCAGACACGACGCCACCUGUAUCAUUUCAAAUUUUCAGGUGACUAAAACAAGUGACUUCUGCGAAGCAACUGGAAUGACCAAUCGCCAAACGAUCAACAUGGCGUCGUACUCGCGUUGGUGGGCGAAAUUCGAUUAUAAAGUCUAGCAUGCAGGUGAUGGUCAAGUAACAACUUUUACGAUUAUAUCACUUAAUGGACGAAGUACGUCUACAAUGUACCGUUGCCGCACGAGAAGAGUGAACUUGGCACAGUGACCAUGUUAAAAACCCUUUAGUAGUGUGUGUGCCUAACUUAGGUAUCGUAUUGUUCAUUCUUUUCGUGUGUCAAUGAUAAAUGUACGAUGUGUUGUUCAAGGUAAAUGUUAAAAUGAAUAUAAAAGAGACUAAUGACUAAACAGCAGGUGAUGCGAGAAAAAUGUAAACAAAAAUUCGUGUCAUUUUUCAUGCAGAAUAUAAGAGUGUGAAAAGUGUUUUUCCAAUUUUUCAAGAUCACCUUGUGAUUUUGAAACGAGGUAUUAUGUACUAUACUGUUGCUUCGGCACCAUGAAAGAACAAAAAAGGGCGAAUUCAAUAAAAUAAAAUUUGUUUUUAUUUAACUUUUCUAUCUUCAUAUUAUAAUAUCAAUGUUUUGGUUUAAUACUGUGUUAUAAUUGUUAAUACUGUUAAGUUAAGAUUAUACGUCUAAGUUAAUGUUACAGGUUAAUACAAAUAUUAAUUUAU